GAUAAGGAGCCUGAGCCGGCCGGUGGUGGCUGCUGUUGUGGGAAAGGACCUGCCUGUCAGUGACGAUGAAGAAAUGAAGAAAUCACUAUGUGUAACAGAGCACCAUUGAUGGAUCCUCGAGACAUUGGAAAUGCCAGCCAAACGUCUGACUAUAAAACCGUAAUAUCGCUUACCGUCACCUCGUGGAGUGGAUCCAGCGAGGGACUCGGAUAGGCGAUCGUCUUGUUUUACCUGCCUGUGUUGUUCAGGACAUCAGAAGAAGAAGCCGGCGAUGUUUCGAGGAGGUGUGGUUCGUCGCUGGAAACAUUUAUUCUAUUUUUUACUUUUAUAACAGGAGGUGGUUUUUAGUUUUGCAGUCAAU
Solea senegalensis (Senegalese sole) is the source of this 361-nucleotide long non-coding RNA. RefSeq lists it as uncharacterized. The transcript has 2 exons. Lineage: Eukaryota; Metazoa; Chordata; Actinopteri; Pleuronectiformes; Soleidae. The record is from RefSeq and is a predicted model, not a curated record.